This 500-nucleotide ribosomal RNA is filed under the name uncultured bacterium. RNAcentral describes it as "bacterial SSU rRNA". It matches the Rfam family "Bacterial small subunit ribosomal RNA", at positions 28 to 521 of the family's 1533-position model. The record is from RNAcentral.
GAUGAACGCUAGCUACAGGCUUAACACAUGCAAGUCGAGGGGCAGCGCAGUGUAGCAAUACAUGGGUGGCGACCGGCGCACGGGUGCGUAACGCGUAUCCAACCUUCCCGAUACUCAGGGAUAGCCUUCCGAAAGGGAGAUUAAUACCUGAUGGUGUUUCAAUUCCGCAUGUUAUUUGAACUAAAGAUUUAUCGGUAGCGGAUGGGGAUGCGUGACAUUAGAUAGUAGGCGGGGUAACGGCCCACCUAGUCUACGAUGUCUAGGGGUUCUGAGAGGAAGGUCCCCCCACACUGGAACUGAGACACGGUCCAGACUCCUACGGGAGGCAGCAGUGAGGAAUAUUGGUCAAUGGUCGGAAGACUGAACCAGCCAAGUAGCGUGAAGGAUGAAGGUUCUAUGGAUUGUAAACUUCUUUUAUACGGGAAUAAAACCUCCACGUGUGGGAGCUUGUAUGUACCGUAUGAAUAAGCAUCGGCUAACUCCGUGCCAGCAGCCGCGGU